This 77-nucleotide transfer RNA is filed under the name Podarcis lilfordi (Lilford's wall lizard). Its description in RNAcentral is "tRNA.Lys". Lineage: Eukaryota; Metazoa; Chordata; Lepidosauria; Squamata; Lacertidae. The record is from RNAcentral.
GCCAGAGAUGUAGCUCAGCUGGUCGAGCGUGAGACUCUUAAUCUCAGGGUUGGGGGGUUCGAGCCCAACAUUGGGCA